This 76-nucleotide transfer RNA is filed under the name Clostridia bacterium. RNAcentral's name for it is "tRNA-Pro". It matches the Rfam family "tRNA". Rfam says of the family: Transfer RNA (tRNA) molecules are approximately 80 nucleotides in length. Their secondary structure includes four short double-helical elements and three loops (D, anti-codon, and T loops). The record is from RNAcentral. Lineage: Bacteria; Bacillati; Bacillota; Clostridia.
CUAGGUGUAGCUCAGCUGGGAGAGCGCUACCUUGGGGUGGUAGAGGCCGCAGGUUCAAGUCCUGUCAAUUAGACCA